This 253-nucleotide ribosomal RNA is filed under the name uncultured bacterium. RNAcentral describes it as "partial 16S ribosomal RNA". It matches the Rfam family "Bacterial small subunit ribosomal RNA", at positions 524 to 776 of the family's 1533-position model. The record is from RNAcentral.
UACGUAGGUGGCUAGCGUUGUCCGGAUUUACUGGGCGUAAAGAGCGCGCAGGCGGUCGUUCAAGUCGAGUGUGAAAGCCCCCGGCUCAACUGGGGAGGGUCACUCGAUACUGAUCGACUCGAAGGCAGGAGAGGGAAGCGGAAUUCCCGGUGUAGAGGUGAAAUUCGUAGAUAUUCGGAAGAACACCAGUGGCGAAGGCGGCUCACUGGACGCGUAUUGACGCUGAGGUGCGAAAGCGUGGGGAGCAAACAGG